This 245-nucleotide ribosomal RNA is filed under the name Phyllium brossardi. RNAcentral describes it as "partial large subunit ribosomal RNA". Lineage: Eukaryota; Metazoa; Arthropoda; Insecta; Phasmatodea; Phylliidae. The record is from RNAcentral.
CAUAAUCAUUAGCUUAUUAAUUGUAAAAUUGUAUGAAUGGUUGGACGAAAUAUUAACUGUCUCAUUAUUAUAUUUAAAAUUUAAUUUUUGAGUUAAAAAGCUUAAAUUUUUUUAAAGGACGAAAAAACCCUAUAAAUCUUUAUUUUUAAUAUUUUAUUUCUUUUUGAUUUUUUUUAUUUAUUGAAUUUUUAAUUGGGGGGAUUUUGAAAUAUAAUUAACUCUUUAUUUUUUUUUUCAUUUAUUUA